Molecule: ribosomal RNA, 398 nt
Filed under: Rhyncogonus corvus
Lineage: Eukaryota; Metazoa; Arthropoda; Insecta; Coleoptera; Curculionidae
Description: partial 16S ribosomal RNA
Rfam family: Archaeal large subunit ribosomal RNA
Source: RNAcentral
GGCCUGCCCACUGAGGAUUUAAAUGGCCGCGGUAUUUUGACCGUGCAAAGGUAGCAUAAUAAUUAGUUUUUUAAUUGAAAGCUGGAAUGAAAGGUUGGAUGAGAAAAUAACUGUCUCUAUUUAGAUUAAUUAGAAUUUUAUUUUUAAGUAAAAAAGCUUAAAUAAGAAUAGAAGACGAGAAGACCCUAUAGAGUUUUAAUUUAGUUGGGGUGAUUGAAAAAUUUAGUAAACUUUUUUUGUAAAUAACCAUUGAUAUAUGAAUAUUUGAUCCUUUUUUAAAGAUUAAAAGAAAAAAUUACCUUAGGGAUAACAGCGUAAUUUUUUUAGAGAGUUCAAAUCGAAAAAAAAGAUUGCGACCUCGAUGUUGGAUUAAAAUUAAGUCUUGGUGUAGAAGCUAA